This 1563-nucleotide unclassified non-coding RNA is filed under the name Hevea brasiliensis (rubber tree). Lineage: Eukaryota; Viridiplantae; Streptophyta; Magnoliopsida; Malpighiales; Euphorbiaceae. The record is from RNAcentral.
UUUUCUUUCUUUUUUUUUUUUCCUCUGCUUUUGAAACUUUGACUGGAAGAAGAGAAGUACAAGCAACAGAGAGAAAGAGAGAGAAGGACGAAGGGGCUUUGCUUGCAGGCUUGCAGCUCUUGGCCCUCUUUCUUUCUUUCUUUCUCUUUCCCCCUUCUUUCAGAUUUGGCCAGCUCUUGAUUCCAACUUUUUUAUUAUUAUAACAUAUAAUUGUUUAUUUAUAUACCAUAAUAUAACGUAUCAACUCUCGGAACAGCCACAAACAAAGACCAGUCAAUUGCUCCCUUCUCCUUUCUCUAGGCUGCUAAGCUAAUCACCCAAGUCACUGGCUUUCCUACCCCUAUCACCAGGUAGCUUUCUUCAAGAUCACUUUUUGCGCUUUGCAUUUGCUAAAUUUUCUCUUUCUAGAUCUUCCCGUUUUCUGGGUUCCAUUUUCUUGAGGGAUCUUUUUACCGCUCUAACAGUAGCAGAUCAACAGGUUUUUGCCUUUUUAUAAUUGAUUCGCUUCUGGGUUUGAUUUAUAAUUUUUUUUUCGCUUGCCUCUCUUGAUUUUAAAUUUAAUGGGAAUUGGAUUUUUAAUCUGCCUUAUUUUUUUUUUAAAAUAUAAAAUUCUUUUCUCAAACUUAUUUGAAUACAAAAAUUUUCUCGUGGGGUGCCUUAAAAUAAAGCAGUAAUUAAUUCUUUUUGGAAGUUGUUUUUAUUCAAAGUUUGUAAGAAUUUAGUUGAAUAAUCCAAUACUGUGUUAACUGUUGCUAUUUGAAGGGGAAAGGAAAAAAGGUGGCUCAGGCCAAAAACAGCAUACACUUGCACAACAUACACGGUAUAUUUAUUGUUGGCAUCAGUGGCAGACAUAUUUCUGGGCAUUCAUAUAUGUGUAUUAAUUAUGUCAACAACACGUGUCUUGACUGAUGGUUUAACUUGGAUUCACGAGAAAUAGCAUGUAAAUUUUGGGCACCUUCUUGUACUGUCUUAACUCGUGUGCAUGAACUUCGAUAAAAUGAAGCUCAAUUCACAUACACAUUUAUAUGAAAUCAUAAUGCUUCAUUCAAUCUCUAGCCUUUUGACCAGAAUCUUCCAGUCUGCAUUGUUGGUUUCAGCAUUUCAGUGGAACCUUACUCUUUUUCACCCACAAGCCACAAAAGUUCAAGAAGAAGGCUUAAUGUUUGAGGGGGAGAAAAGGGUCUUUCUUGUGUUGGCCACAACUCAUUAAACGUUAGUUUUGCAAUUGGUAUUGCCUAAAUGGUUCUUCAUUUUGCUAUUUCUGAAUUUGGAACAAUCUCGCAUUUAAAAUAUUAUCAGAUAUUUCAUCAUUUUGGACUGGUGAUUAUGCUUUAAAUUUUUUUUUGUCUGAGGAAGAUGUAUCUAAGCUUUAAUGUCUUCUACAGGUUUGUGGCUAGCGUUCAGGUUAAGUUGACCACAUUAUGGGUGAUCUUUAUAUAAAAGAAUCAAAUAAUAUUGACACCUAGUCAAGCCUGAUCAUUGUCUUGUCAUUGUAAAUUUGUAAUAAAAAAUAUGGGCUUACUCUGCAGUAAACAGCGUCGUUACAAUGAAGCAGAUGCUGAA